RNAcentral lists this ribosomal RNA (166 nucleotides) under Parazoanthus anguicomus. Its description in RNAcentral is "partial 18S ribosomal RNA". It matches the Rfam family "Eukaryotic small subunit ribosomal RNA", at positions 1669 to 1831 of the family's 1831-position model. Lineage: Eukaryota; Metazoa; Cnidaria; Anthozoa; Zoantharia; Parazoanthidae. The record is from RNAcentral.
CCGCCCGUCGCUACUACCGAUUGAAUGGUUUAGUGAGGCCUUCUGAUUGGCGCCGCCGCCCCGGCAACGGAGCAACGGAUGUCGAAAAGUUGGUCAAACUUGAUCAUUUAGAGGAAGUAAAAGUCGUAACAAGGUUUCCGUAGGUGAACCUGCGGAAGGAUCAUUA